AAACUAACAAGGAUUCCCCUAGUAGCGGCGAGCGAAGCGGGAAGAGCUCAAAUUUAUAAUCUGGCACCUUCGGUGUCCGAGUUGUAAUCUCUAGAAAUGUUUUCCGCGUUGGACCGCACACAAGUCUGUUGGAAUACAGCGGCAUAGUGGUGAGACCCCCGUAUAUGGUGCGGACGCCCAGCGCUUUGUGAUACAUUUUCGAAGAGUCGAGUUGUUUGGGAAUGCAGCUCAAAUUGGGUGGUAAAUUCCAUCUAAAGCUAAAUAUUGGCGAGAGACCGAUAGCGAACAAGUACCGUGAGGGAAAGAUGAAAAGCACUUUGGAAAGAGAGUUAACAGUACGUGAAAUUGUUGGAAGGGAAACGCUUGAAGUCAGACUUGCUUGCCGAGCAAUCGGUUUGCAGGCCAGCAUCAGUUUUCCGGGAUGGAUAAUGGUAGAGAGAAGGUAGCAGUUUCGGCUGUGUUAUAGCUCUCUGC
Molecule: ribosomal RNA, 474 nt
Filed under: Rhodotorula mucilaginosa
Lineage: Eukaryota; Fungi; Basidiomycota; Microbotryomycetes; Sporidiobolales; Sporidiobolaceae
Description: eukaryotic LSU rRNA
Rfam family: Eukaryotic large subunit ribosomal RNA
Source: RNAcentral